This 271-nucleotide ribosomal RNA is filed under the name uncultured prokaryote. RNAcentral's name for it is "partial 16S ribosomal RNA". It matches the Rfam family "Bacterial small subunit ribosomal RNA", at positions 524 to 794 of the family's 1533-position model. The record is from RNAcentral.
UACGGAGGAUCCGAGCGUUAUCCGGAUUUAUUGGGUUUAAAGGGUGCGCAGGCGGGAGAUUAAGUCGGCGGUGAAAUUUCGCAGCUUAACUGUAAAAGUGCCUUCGAAACUGGUUUCCUUGAGUGUAGAUGAAGUAGGCGGAAUUUGUGGUGUAGCGGUGAAAUGCAUAGAUAUCACGAGGAACUCCGAUUGCGCAGGCAGCUUACUAAACUACUACUGACGCUCAGGCACGAAGGCGUGGGGAUCAAACAGGAUUAGAUACCCUGGUAGU